Molecule: non-coding RNA, 3402 nt
Organism: Elaeis guineensis (African oil palm)
Lineage: Eukaryota; Viridiplantae; Streptophyta; Magnoliopsida; Arecales; Arecaceae
Source: RefSeq, a predicted model, not a curated record
UGCGAACACAUUCAUCGAACAUUCGAACCUCCCAGGCCCCAGCCCUCAAAACCCCCAACUUUCCGGUCGCUUCUCCCCCGAUCUCUUUGCCCGGAACGAAGCAAACAAGAAAAAGAGGAGAGAAAGAAUGGCUCUGUUGGACCCGCACUCGUUCGCCGACGCGAGCCAUCCAUUCGCGACCCACGUCUCCCUCACCUUCUACCUGGACUUCGCGACCUCCACCAUCCUGGGCUCCGCCCUCCUCACCCUUCCCUCCCCCCACAUGGGGCCCCUCACCCUCGACACCCGCUCCCUCUCCAACCUCUCCGCCCUCGACCCACUCUCCCUCUCCCCCCUCCCCUUCUCCCUCUCUCCCUCCAACCCCGACCCCGUCCUCGGCCAAUCCCUCACCGUAUCCCUCUCCUCCCAUUCCUCCCUCCUCCUCACCUUCUCCACCACCCCCGCCUCCUCCGCCCUCCAAUGGCUCUCCCCCGCCCAGACCUCCUCCCGCUCCUACCCCUUCGUCUACACCCAGUGCCUGUCCAUCCACGCCCGCUCGAUCUUCCCCUGCCAGGACACUCCCGCCGCCCGGAUCCGCUACUCCGCCAAACUCAACCUCCCGCGCCCCCUCUCCGCCGUCAUGGCCGCCACCCACCUCGCCCGCCGCGACCCCGCCCCUGGCGAGGCCGGCCCCGCUUGCCCCGACGCCUUCUGGUGCUCCCAAGACCGCGUUGUCGAGGAGUUCUCCAUGAACCAGCCUAUCCCCCCCUACCUCUUCGCCUUCGCCGCCGGGGAUAUCGGCUUCCGCGACGUCGGCCCCAGGACCAGGGUCUAUGUGGAGGGCGGCAUCGCCGUGUUGGACGCGGCGGCCAGGGAGUUCGCCGGCACGGAGGAGAUGAUCCGGGUCGGGGAGGCGCUGUUCGGGCCCUACGAGUGGGAAAGGUUCGACCUUUUGGUGCUCCCUCCAAGCUUCCCCUACGGCGGGGUGGAGAACCCCAGGAUGGUGUUCCUCACGCCCACCGUCAUCAGGGGGGACGCCUCCGGAGCCCAGUUAGUGGCACACGAGCUCGCCCACAGCUGGACGGGGAAUCUCAUCACCAACAAGACCAACGAAGAUUCCUGGCUCAAUGAGGGAUUCACGACAUAUGCCGAGAGGAGAAUUGUGGAGAUGGUUCAGGGAGAGGAGCGGGCGGCUCUAAACACCGGAAUCGGGUGGUGGGCUUUGAAUGAGGAGAUGGAAAGAUUCAAAGACAACAUGGAGUUCACAAAGCUGAAGCCGAAACUGGCAGGAAUGGACCCGGAUGAGGUCUACUCUCAAGUGCCAUAUGAGAAAGGGUUCCAGUUUCUCUGGCGCAUAGAACGCCAGAUUGGUCGUCCGGCAUUCGAUGAGUUUCUGAAGAAAUACAUAUCCACUUUUAAGUUCCAAUCAAUAGAUACGGAGACAUUUCUUGAAUUUCUUAAGGCAAAUGUACCUGGAAUAGAAAAUCAAAUUGAUCUUAAGCUCUGGGUGGAGGGUACUGGGAUCCCUUCAGAUGCCAUGGAGCCAGUGUCAACCAUUUAUACAAAGAUUGUGUCUCUGGCAAAGGAUUUUAAUGCUGGAAGGAUGCCGAGAGAGGAUGAGGUGGCAGACUGGCUUGGGCAGGAAUGGCAACUUUACUUGGAGAAUCUGCCCAAAGCUGUUGAAGCUUCUCAGAUUCCUGUGGUUUGCAAAUGAGCAUCGUGAGAGCUGUAUCCUUGGAGUGACUUGCCGAAGUAAUGUUUUCAACCUUGGAAGAGAGUGAUUCCGCCCUUGCUCCUCUUCCAACUACUAUCUUCCUGAUGUCGAAUGUGCCAUAAUGUACCUCUACUUUUGUGAGCCGCUUUAGUUCUCCAGGUUUUUCUUCUCUUUUUGAGGUCAGCAAUGGUGGUUCCAAUCCAAUCCUGCUGGAGAAUGAUAAUCAAGAUAAUGUAGAAAGGUCAGUUUUCUCUAUGGAUCUACCUUCAGAUGAGAUUCAAAUAGGAUUGGUUGAUGGAAUACAAUCUACAGAUCCAAACACUAGGGAAGAACCCAGAUUUUCAGUUCAACUGAAUGAAUUGGCUACAGAGAAUCUCAGCUCAGACCUGGGAUUGAGCUGGUGGAUUCGGCAAAGUACUCAUUUGGCUGCCAUGGAAAAUAAGAGCUUGAAUAUAUUCAACUCUAGACUUGUCUUGGCAUCACCUGAAACAGCUACAGAUGCAAACCAUGCUGCAAUCUAGGGAGCAAUUGGUUAUGAGUAUUUCCACAACCGGACUGGCAAGAGAGUGACACGUUAUGACUUGUUCCAGCUUAGUCUCAAGGAAGGUCUCACUGUCUUCAGAGAUCGGGAGUUUUCAUCUGACAUGGACAGCUGCAUGGUUAAGCACAGCUGAUGUUUCAAGGCUUCAAAAUUACCAGUUUCAACAGGAUGCUGGUCCCAUGGCUCAUCCUGUAUGGCUGCAUGCAUAUAUUACGAUGGACAACUUCUAUACCUUGACAGUGUAUGAGAAGGGAGCUGAAGUUGUUAGAAUGUGCAAAACGUUGCUUGGAAGUUCAGGUUUUCAGAAGGGCAUAGUCCUAUAUUUCAAAAGACACGAUAGACAAGCUGUGACCUAUGAAGAUUUCUUUGCCUUGUUGUGUGAUGCAAAUGAUGCUGAUCUCUGCAACUUUUUGUUAUGAUAUUCUCAAGCUGGGUCACCCUAUGUUAAGGUUACUCAUCUUUCGAUCUUGAUGCUGAGACGUAUACUUUGAGAUUCAAUCAAGAAGUGCCACCACCUCCUGGUCAACCAGUGAAAGAACCAAUGUCUACACCUGUUGCUAUUGGACUUCUUGACUCAAGUGGAAAAGACGUGCCCUCACUAUUUAUAAUGAUGGGAUGUUGCAGACUAUCACAAGCAAUACCCAACCAGUCUUCACAACAGUACUUCUAUUUAGGAAGAAGGAAGAAGAGUUGUGUUUUCUGAUAUACCUGAGCAGCCAAUCCCUUCUUUAUUGCAGAGUUACGGUGCAGCUUUUCAUCUUGAUUCUGAUCUUACAAACAGUGAUCUGUUUUUCCUACUCGCAUAUGAUUCCAAUAAAUUUGAUCGUGGGAGCCUGGUCAAGUAUUUCCAAGAAAACUGAUGCUCAGUCUUGUAGCAGAUUUCCAGCAAAAGAAAAACAUUGAUUCUGAACCCAAAGAUUACAGAUGGGAUUAGAAGCAUCCUUAGUAAUUCAACCUUGGAUAAAGAAUCUCUUGCAAAGGCAAUUACUUUGCUUGGUGAAGGGGAGAUCAUGGAUAUGGUGGCUGUUGCAGAUCUAGAUGCUAUUCAUGUUGUCUGCUCCUUCAUUAAGAAACAGCUCACUCUCCAGCUAAAGAAAGAGUUCUUAGCCACUGUUGUUGUCAACAGAAGUUCAGGUAGCUGCUCUAGAUGCACGUUAUCGGCUAGCAG